AAGGCACGAGUUUGUCCUCAGAGCACAGAAGCUGGAAUUGUGACUUCCUUCUUACCUCUUCUGCGCCCUACUCACACAAUGACCAAUGAGGUUUGCAGUCUGCGUUUGUGGCUAGAAGGGCAGUGAAGACAAUACCUAUAUAUGACCAUCAGCUUAGAAAAAAAGAAGCCUUAAGUAAACUAGCCAAUUGAUUGGUCCUUAAAGAAUCAAGAAAGAAGAUUCAACAAUAGUCACAUAAAAAUAAGAAGAGCAUCAGUCCUGCCUUUCUUGCCCUGAAUCCUGCCAGUGCCACCCAAGUUUGCCUCUUGUCAGUAGUGCUUCCUUCUCUGGCAGACAUCUUCAGAGGAGAAAACAGGUGGCACCGAUCCAAGCAUGUGUGAUAAUAGACAUGCCUGGUUUCCUAGGUAGGCAAAGAAGCAGCAGCUGUGGUUAUAUCUCCAUGUAGCUGGGGAGAAGAAAGAAAGAAAAGGAAGAGAUGAAUUUAAUGAAAUUGAACAAACUCUUCAGUUUCCCCAAGUUACCAAUACAAUAGAAGAUAUGCUGGGUGAACUGCUUUUCUAAAACAAAUUUUAAUUUAUUUUGUUAUUAUUAGUCACUUAUCGGUGCCUAUAAAACUGUUGUUUAUCUAUAUGCUUGCUAUGGAC
This 644-nucleotide long non-coding RNA is filed under the name Macaca fascicularis (crab-eating macaque). RNAcentral's name for it is "lncRNA (ENSMFAG00000050856.1)". The record is from RNAcentral. Lineage: Eukaryota; Metazoa; Chordata; Mammalia; Primates; Cercopithecidae.